CCUGAGUCUGCCCCUGACUCUGGCCUCACCCGUCUCAAGCACUGAGGACUCUCAAUUGUCAGGGAGGUUUUCAGUUCUGGGAUAAAGAGCGAAGACUCAAGUAAAUCCUCCAUCAAAGCCUCGGUUGUUAUUUGUUCUGUUUUGUUUUGUUUCCCAGCUCUCUUUCUCCUGCCACCGCCCCCAGGAAGUGGGGAGAGGUCUCUCUUCUACUUAGAGCCCUGAAAUCAAACUUCCCCGCCUGCUUCUUCGGGCUCCCAUUCCGCACCUGUCUCAGAGCGCUUCAGGACCUGUGGUUAGAGACCCGCAAGGCAGCCGGCCAGUUCAUGUUUCUAAUUCAUUGGUUUACUCUGCCUCAUUCUUUACCCCCAUGGUGUUUGGUCUUGGGAGCUCUGAGUCUCUUUGAGUGUUCGAUGAAUGGCAAAUGCAUAAGGACACACCACCCAGAUAUUUGUAUAUGAUAUUGGGUGUUGUGGCCUCCCUGAGGCUGAUGUGACCCCCCCCAUCCAGUGCAUGGCAGCGGAGCAGGGGUUUGAGAAGAGGAUCACUGAAAUGGGUCCGGGAGGGUGAAGGACCAUGAGGAUAAAUUUCUUAUUGUUGGAAUUGGGAGACCCACCCAUAGGGAGCCCACCCUGGGUCCUGGGUCACUGCCUCCACUGGGAGACUCGUCCCUGGGCUCCCCCUCAGAUUGGGGGCUCCUCUCCGAACAUCCUUGUCAAGAUCACCUGACUCCAGCAGCUGCCAAAGCCCUGGGCAACGCCAAGAGCCUCCUGGCCUCAAACGGGUUGGGCGACAUUCACUUCCCUCCACUGUCCUCCAGACCUGCUCAGUCAUUAGGAAAUGCCUCAGCGGCGGCUGUCACAGUAACAGCAGCAGGAAGACGUGCUGUCUGCCCAGCACCUGUGGGUGGCUCAGAUCUGCUCCGCGGAGGACGUGGUGGAGAGGUGGAUGCUGAUCCCAGCAAAUUAUACAU
This 970-nucleotide long non-coding RNA is filed under the name Canis lupus familiaris (dog). Its description in RNAcentral is "lncRNA (ENSCAFG00845000640.1)". Lineage: Eukaryota; Metazoa; Chordata; Mammalia; Carnivora; Canidae. The record is from RNAcentral.